CACACGUAGGGUCGAGUGGUCAACAAUGAACCAGCAGUACAGAGUGAACCAUGUAAAUAAUUCAGAAAUGUGACGUUGCCAUUUGGUGCAAACUGCAUUAGGUAAGCGCCUUUGAGGCCCCUCCCGCCUUCCCCAGUCGACAGUGAGCUAGCGGCGCGGGAGGCCGUGCGAGCCCAUGUUUGGUGUUUUCGUGCCGAAAAUUGUAUAAAAAUAACAUGGGCCGAACAAAAUAAGAUAGCUCUGCUAGGAAAAAAGGAUCCCACCUACCUGAAGCAAUGAAGGCUGCUGUCGAUUUACAUCUCAACGGUAUGAGCUUAAGAAAGGCUGCAAGAGAUAGCAACAUACCAUAUCCAACACUGAGAAGAUAUGUGAUAAAAUUCAAGACAGACAAGUCUGCUUCGAUGGAACCAAAUUAUAGCGUAAAUAAAUAUUCACGGAGGAACAAGAAACAAGUCUAAAGUCUUAAAAAGCAUAGUAAAGCAAAGUAUAGCAUAGUAUUGCACGAGCCAUAUCAUCUAAUCCAACGAAUUUCAAAUCAUUUUUUGACAAUCUUUAAGAAGUUUAUGGAAGAUUUCCUCAAUUUGGUGACGGCACAAGGCACGAGGGUUCAUAAUCUUGAUGAAACUAUGUUUAUGAUUUUUCCGCAAACUCUUUUAGAAAAGAAGCUAUUUGAUUGUUACUACAAAUAAAUAGGUACUUUAAAUAAAUUUGAAAGUUUUAUUUAACAUUUUUUUAUAAUUAUAUCAAUAUAAUGUUUUAAUUAUUGACAUGGUUCAUUGUUUGCACACACGAUUCACUGUGUACCAACCCCCGGUUCAUUGAGUACCAUUGAGUGUACACAGUGAAUCAUUUCUCAAAAAAUAAAAAAAAAUAAAAACAUCAG
Molecule: long non-coding RNA, 883 nt
Organism: Colias croceus (clouded yellow)
Lineage: Eukaryota; Metazoa; Arthropoda; Insecta; Lepidoptera; Pieridae
Exons: 2
Source: RefSeq, a predicted model, not a curated record